GCCGGGGUGGCCGAGGGGUAAGGCGGCGGGCUGCAGACCCGCAUAGGAGGGUUCAAGUCCCUCCCCCGGCU
Molecule: transfer RNA, 71 nt
Filed under: Thermoprotei archaeon
Lineage: Archaea; Thermoproteati; Thermoproteota; Thermoprotei
Description: tRNA-Cys
Rfam family: tRNA
About the family: Transfer RNA (tRNA) molecules are approximately 80 nucleotides in length. Their secondary structure includes four short double-helical elements and three loops (D, anti-codon, and T loops).
Source: RNAcentral